This is a non-coding RNA of Vicia faba (fava bean), 273 nucleotides long. The record is from the annotation of a GenBank genome assembly. Lineage: Eukaryota; Viridiplantae; Streptophyta; Magnoliopsida; Fabales; Fabaceae.
AUGUGGUGCUACUCUAGGAGGGUGCACGGUGAAGGUGAGUACGCUGGAGCAUCAGAUUCAGAUCUGACGGUGGAUAUGGAAGGGUGCAUCAUAAGACCGAUAGAGGGGUGCAUAUUUGAACCGUUGGAUCUGAUGUUUACACCUUUUGAGAUCUUGAAAGGGAAAAAUGAAACCAUAGGAUCUCACAAACAAAUAUCUGAUGGUGAUGAUGCGAUUGACGCGCGAUCGAUGAUAAACACUACUUCUGAGUUUACUUUGGUGAGAUCCUUCUGA